GAUGAACGCUGGCGGCGUGCCUAAUACAUGCAAGUCGAGCGAACUGACGAGGAGCUUGCUCCUCUGACGUUAGCGGCGGACGGGUGAGUAACACGUGGAUAACCUACCUAUAAGACUGGGAUAACUUCGGGAAACCGGAGCUAAUACCGGAUAAUAUAUUGAACCGCAUGGUUCAAUAGUGAAAGACGGUUUUGCUGUCACUUAUAGAUGGAUCCGCGCCGCAUUAGCUAGUUGGUAAGGUAACGGCUUACCAAGGCGACGAUGCGUAGCCGACCUGAGAGGGUGAUCGGCCACACUGGAACUGAGACACGGUCCAGACUCCUACGGGAGGCAGCAGUAGGGAAUCUUCCGCAAUGGGCGAAAGCCUGACGGAGCAACGCCGCGUGAGUGAUGAAGGUCUUCGGAUCGUAAAACUCUGUUAUUAGGGAAGAACAAAUGUGUAAGUAACUAUGCACGUCUUGACGGUACCUAAUCAGAAAGCCACGGCUAACUACGUG
This 497-nucleotide ribosomal RNA is filed under the name uncultured bacterium. Its description in RNAcentral is "partial 16S ribosomal RNA". It matches the Rfam family "Bacterial small subunit ribosomal RNA", at positions 28 to 507 of the family's 1533-position model. The record is from RNAcentral.